This is a long non-coding RNA of Drosophila arizonae, 313 nucleotides long. The record is from RefSeq and is a predicted model, not a curated record. Lineage: Eukaryota; Metazoa; Arthropoda; Insecta; Diptera; Drosophilidae.
GUUCGCUCGUGGAACGUGGCAACGCUUUCAGUCGUUGAUUUGACCGCCAAACAAACGCAACGCAACUCGAGUGCGCCAACACGUCGAACACGUACACAAACACCAAGAGCAGCAAGCGCAGUCAGCGCAUCCAACAACAAACGCCAUAAAUAUAAUAUUUCUAACAACAGAAAAGUUAAAAAAACGAAGAAGAAACAAGUUGUGAAACUUAAAAGUUCGGCACUAAAAAGCAAUAGUAGUCAAGUGCUGCCAAAAGGUGAAGCCUCAGCAGUAACAGCGCCGUCAGUUAAGGAGCAACAACAACAACAGCAAC